RNAcentral lists this ribosomal RNA (439 nucleotides) under uncultured bacterium. RNAcentral's name for it is "partial 16S ribosomal RNA". It matches the Rfam family "Bacterial small subunit ribosomal RNA", at positions 339 to 795 of the family's 1533-position model. The record is from RNAcentral.
CUACGGGGGGCACCAGUGAGGAAUAUUGCACAAUGGGGGAAACCCUGAUGCAGCAACGCCGCGUGGAGGAUGACGCAUUUCGGUGUGUAAACUCCUUUUAUCAGAGAAGAAAAUGACGGUAUCUGAUGAAUAAGCUCCGGCUAACUCCGUGCCAGCAGCCGCGGUAAUACGGAGGGAGCAAGCGUUAUUCGGAAUCACUGGGCGUAAAGGACGCGUAGGCGGGUUUUUAAGUCAGGUGUGAAAUCCUAUGGCUCAACCAUAGAACUGCACUUGAAACUGGGGACCUAGAGUAUGGAAGGGGCAGGUGGAAUUAGUGGUGUAGGGGUAAAAUCCGUAGAUAUCACUAGGAAUACCGAUAGCGAAGGCGACCUGCUGGGACAUUACUGACGCUGAGGCGUGAAAGCGUGGGGAGCAAACAGGAUUAGAUACCCUCGUAGUC